This is a long non-coding RNA of Scophthalmus maximus (turbot), 1522 nucleotides long. RefSeq lists it as uncharacterized. The transcript has 3 exons. The record is from RefSeq and is a predicted model, not a curated record. Lineage: Eukaryota; Metazoa; Chordata; Actinopteri; Pleuronectiformes; Scophthalmidae.
CUCUCUCUCUCUCUCUCUCUCUCUCUCUCUCUCUCUCAAUGGAUUCCCUCUCCUUCAGAUCACAUGUGCUGAUAAUCCUUAAUGCGGUCGAUCUAUCAAGGAUCCCCAUCGAGGACGGCUAGAAGGAACUGGUGUCAUCAUGAAGAGAAAGAGCAGCACAGGGCUUCACGUCCUGACAGACACUCUGGUGAUGGUGAUGGAGCUGAUGGUAAUACGAUCCUCCGCUGCUGGGAUGGAGGGAAGAGAUUCCGUUUAGGUUCAGGACGAAGUCCUUCCUGUCGCACACCGGAGCCGAGUGGCUGGAAUAUCGAGACAGGCCCACUGGAAACAAACAGGACAGAUCGUAUUACAGAAUUAUAAUUGUGGGAUGACAAAAACGUGCAUUUUAAGUAGUGUGAUUUAUAGACAAACUGCUCUGAUGGCACUUUGAAUAAAGUGUUUUAAUCCAGGGCCUUCGUUAAAAACAUUCACUAAGAUCAAUAUUAAACCAUUUAAUAACCUUUGGGUUAAAUUAAAGGUUAUGAAAAACAAUUUGGCUGAGGUUUAUCCUUUUUAUUUGGUAAUAAUUAACAGAUAAUCACUGAUAUCUUAUUUUCCAGUAAAACAUAUAAGACAAUGCUGAUGAAUCUCAAUUGUGGUUUUAAAAAAUAUAUAUAUAUAUAUCUUUGCCAGAAGGUUGAUCUAAAAAAACAAAAAGAUUACGUUGGUUUUCUUGGUGAAGGAGGUAAAAACAACAGCGAUAGGAUUUUUAGACAACCUGGCAACUCAAAAGUUGCUCCUUUUAAUAGUUUAUGACGGAUCGAUAAAAAAAAAAUAUAUUGGUAGAUCAUUAAGUCACAAUUUAACUAAUAGAGCUUUCAUAUGGGUGUUUAAUUAGAAAGUUGGAACAAAUUUGUUCCAUCAAGUCACUAAAGAACGUAAGCAAUCACACAAAAACAAAAGAUAAUUUAAGGAGCAAAUAAAUAAGAAUGACAGGCUAAUACAAUAACCCACUGUAAAAAAAAAAGAAUAUUACUAUCACUAUACUUUAACGAAGUUGCACCACAACUAAUAUUUUUCUCAAUUAAAAGUAAAUUUGUGUACGUCUGUUCAGAGCCAUUUUCUUAAUUCAUACAUUAUUUUCAGGCAUUAUUGUGAGAUUACUGUUGAAUAAUAUGCAUUUUUUUUCAUUUAGCAUUUCGCCCUCUUUAGCUUGUCCUAAAAUGCAAAUGAUGAGACUUUUCUACACCAGUACAGCAAUUUUGUGCACAUUUCACACACUAUUGAAUGAUGCAUGCAUGAUGAGGGGGAAAAGGUAACGGAAAAUGUUUAAUCAUAUUUUGAAAUAUUCUAUGAAACUUUUUGUAUAUUUUGUUUGCAGGAAUAUACAAUCAGACCAAUUAAUGCACAUUAGUUUGUGUUUGACAAGGACACAUUUUGUCUUUUACUUACUUACUAGUCCGUAAAUAUUUGUUCAUUAAAAUAUCUUUUGUCAAAAACUUUGCUCAUCUAAGGCGACUAAGAUAAAACAAGCAUUGUGAAA